Molecule: ribosomal RNA, 246 nt
Filed under: uncultured bacterium
Lineage: Bacteria
Description: partial 16S ribosomal RNA
Rfam family: Bacterial small subunit ribosomal RNA
Source: RNAcentral
CACGCCCUAAACGAUGAUCACUAGAUUUGGGGAGUAUCGACCCUCUCCGAGUCGUAGCAAACGCGUUAAGUGAUCCGCCUGGGUAGUACGGCCGCAAGGUUGAAACUCAAAGGAAUAGACGGGGACUUGCACAAGCGGUGGAACAUGUGGUUUAAUUCGACGCUAAACGAAGAACCUUACCAGGGUUAGAAAUCCAUUCGAAGACUGGCAGAAACGUCAGUCGCCGCAAGGCGGAUGGACAGGUGC